GCGAAGGUAUUGGUUUUACAAUUAUGUGGGUUUUUUUUUGUGUCUGUAUACACUGUAACUUGUUUUAUACUGGACCAAUUCUUUCGAGUAGGAACUCUAUAAAUCAAAAAUGUCAUCUAGAUGGUACUUUGGGGAGGGGAGGGGGUAAAAGUUGAUAAAGCUUACUAUUUAAAAAAAACAUAAUAGUUAUAAAGUUUGAACUAUUACUGGCUAUAAUUUCGAUAAAAAGAGUCGGAUCAAGUUGAAAUGUAUAAGGAAUAUUUAUUCGGUAUGCCCCCACACGUCACUAGUCUAAAAUUUAAAUUAUAUCCAUUUCCCAUCCCCCUAGGAAUUGACAACGAUGUCAAUAUUAUUUAUUGUUAUUAAUAUAAUUAUUUAUUAGUAGCUAAAGAUUUUUAAGGUGAAACUUAGUUUCAAAGUUUCCCCUGACCGGCUGCCACUGAAACUGUAUUUUUAAUUACUUACCUAAAUAACUGUACUUAUAAGUGAACACACGGUAUAAACAAACCAUUCACUUGAUAUUUGGAAAAUAAACGUUUUUCAUAAACUACUUAAAAACACUGGCUUAAAAUAUUCAAACAUAAAUUCGCCAUUCCACGGAUUAGUCAAAAUGUGUUUGUUUUGAAUAAUACUAUUUAUCGGACAACAAAUAACAAUACUUAAUAUGACUUAUGUUCACUUACAGUUUAAUACGGUUUUCUUAACAUUUCAAAUGACACUUGGCCUUGCUAAUUACCUCUACACUAGUGAUUACUUCUAUCUAGAAUAUUAAUGUUAGAAAACUAACAAGUCCAGAUGUUUGCUGAUACGUCGAUCCCGGCGACGUUCAUAGUGAAAGCUUCAACCCCGCCGCCACCGACGAUGAUUAUCCACGGUGGGCGCAGCAUCAACAACGACAAAAGCUCUGGUCUGCGAUGGUCAAACACCGAAUGCCAAACAGCCAUCGACGCCGCCGACCAUCGAGGAGCUGACCGGCGAGGAAAUGCAAACGGGCCAGAUGUUAUGAGUUGAUCAACAGCCGCCAACGGUCCGAAUAGUUGUCUGAAGAUGUUAGGUUCAAUAUCGACGUCGGCGGGAUUAAUUUCUUCUUUGUUGCUGUCGCUGGUGUAGAUGCUUUCGCUGUGGACGUCGCCGGGAUCGACGUAUCAGCAAACAUCUGUGGUGGCGGUACUGUUGUAUCCAAGACCGGCGGGGACAACAGUUGUAUGUCCACCUACAACGACGAAGGCGGAAAAAACAAUUUCAGUAUAUAGAUCGAUUUUCACGUAUAGAUCGUUAGACCUG
Molecule: long non-coding RNA, 1284 nt
Organism: Adelges cooleyi (spruce gall adelgid)
Lineage: Eukaryota; Metazoa; Arthropoda; Insecta; Hemiptera; Adelgidae
Exons: 3
Source: RefSeq, a predicted model, not a curated record